GAAUUGCAGAGGCGGGUUUAAGAAGAGAACAACAUUGAAGACAGCGUCCUCGGACAGAGAAGAAGUGAUAUCGAAGGAGUGGUUAUGGAUUUUACAAACUGUUCGCUCGGCUAACAGAGAAGACGCCGAGGAGAAUCUGACGAACGAAGACGGGCUCAAGACGCGUGGCAGGUUGUUGGACAGCAUCGGCCGCCGUAUUUCUCCAGAUGUUCCAGUUGCCUGAGACCCUCCCGGGGUUCUGGCAGUCCUGGUUGCUGACGAUCUUACAACCUUUAUGAGUUUUAUUUUUGUCCUGGAAUUAUUUUUGCCUGAGUUUUCUGUGAGAGAUCUCUGUCAUCAUAUUUACCGUUGCUGUGGCGUGGUCGAUUGGUUUCGGCUGCCUGACAUCAGUAUCUGGUACUGAACGACAUCCUCGAACCACACCAGGACGACUCAGGGGAACAAAUGACGUGGCUACCUCAGUGGGUCAAUAAAGCCUCUGGGAUACCGACUAGUGAUCGAUACGGGCAGCAGGGCCAUUAUCAGCUCCCUCCCCUUCCUCCUUCCUUCUCUCAUAUCCUGCAGCGUGGGGCAAGAGCAAACCCAGCCAGUCAGCCUGAGACACGCAUGAGAAAUCUCAAUAUGUCACAACAAAAACUCUUUUCAAAGUGCUCUUUAAUACAACAUUCAAUCACAUCCGAAUAUUACGCUACUGGUGCAACUCCUGCAGCAGUUCUCAUGAGAGUUGGUUUUAGUAAGGGAAGCAGUUGUAUUGAAUUGCAUCACUUUCAACGAGAUAUGUGUUAUCACCUUCGUUCCGUAACUUAGAAACAUUGGAGUGUCCACAGUGGCUGCAUUCGUCCCCACCUGCGAAACUGCCACAAGGAAAUAAAUCGGUUUUGCUUUAAAUCGUUUAUCUAAAUAAAUUAUAAACAGACAUAAUUACAACUUUGUUAAUUUCUUUGGAUUAGUUACUGAGAGCCAUGGAAUUUUGGGCUGACAUUAAAGAAGUCUGGCUGAAAAACAGAGAAAUUGUUAGCAUUCUAGGCAAGUCUGGCUGAAAAACAGUAAAAUUUAGUUGGCAUUCGAGACAGGUCUUGCUGAAAACCAUGGAAUUUUUGCUUAUGAGAUAAUUUAGAGCAUUUUAGGCACUUUGGAAGGGAAGCGAGGAGGGGAGGGCAUGUUACGAGCAUCACUUUCAAUGACUUCGUACUUGACAUUGCACUCUCAGAUUAUACUCAUCGUUAUUGUUACAAAUGUCAAAGAUUCCAGAAUUCUAGCUAUAACACGAUACCUGUUACAUUUCAUUUUAUUACAUUUAUCUCACUUACAACCAAACAUAUGUUUUGUAAAUACAGUCCCUGAGCGGAUUGAGUUUUUAUCCAAACUAAACUAAUAAAUGCAAGAGAAAGAUUUUUUUAAGUUUUCUUCUAGGAAUAACAAAAGUUCUUCUUUGCAUGCAACACUUUAUUUCAAACAGCAAACAUAGCUUGUAUUUUGUAGUUCAAACUUAGUGGUAACGUGAUAUGCUAGUUAUAAUCUUAACAUUUGGUAUCUGUGACUGUAAAAAAAAUCUUCUGCGCGAUAACUUAUGUACUAGUACAUUACAUUCGUCACCAGGCAAUUCAAAAUUUACAAUUCAAUAACGUCAGUGGAAUGUUCAACAGACAAUUUCGCUUUUCAAAUUUUUUUUACAUUAGCUAAGUCAUAAUAAAAACUUUCUGCUGGAUUAGAAAAAAUAUUUUAUUUUAAGCACGAGGCGUAACCGUAGAAAUAUCUUUCUUUAAAUUAGAAAACUAUUCUUUAAAAAAUAAGCAGGACUGUCUUUGCUAUUAUAUUAUGUUUGAAGUUCAGCGAUGCUUUUGUUCAAUAAAGAGAUUUGUCAGUGACC
Molecule: long non-coding RNA, 1870 nt
Organism: Liolophura sinensis
Lineage: Eukaryota; Metazoa; Mollusca; Polyplacophora; Chitonida; Chitonidae
Exons: 4
Source: RefSeq, a predicted model, not a curated record